Molecule: ribosomal RNA, 511 nt
Filed under: Nemertea sp. RCMB0388
Lineage: Eukaryota; Metazoa; Nemertea
Description: partial 16S ribosomal RNA
Rfam family: Bacterial large subunit ribosomal RNA
Source: RNAcentral
AGCUUGCUGCUUUUUAUAGUGAGUGGUUUCUGCCCGGUGUCGAUAAAGAUAAACGGCCGCGGUAUCCUGACCGUGCAAAGGUAGCAUAAUCAUUUGUCCUUUAAUUGGGGACUGGAAUGAAUGGAAGCUCGAGGGUCUGGCUGUCUCGCGCCUGUGUUUGAAGUUGCUGUCUCUGUGAAGAAGCAGAGGUGAAGAAGAGGGACAAGAAGACCCUAUUAAGCUUAACCUCUUGUAGACAAUCUUUGUUUUAUUAUUAUACAUUCCUGAUUGUCGGUGUGGUUUGGUUGGGGUGACUGAAGAAGAGUUGGAUCUUCUUUUUUUGAGAAACUUUAUGUUGUGGUGAUCGAUCCGGGAUUUUCCGAUUGAAAGAACUAGUUACUAUAGGGAUAACAGCGUAAUCUCUUCGUAGAGUUCUUAUUGAUGAGGAGGAUUGCGACCUCGAUGUUGACUUGCUGUUUCCUUUGUAGGUGUAGUAGCUGGGAGGGUUGGUCUGUUCGACCAUUAAAAUGGU